This 330-nucleotide unclassified non-coding RNA is filed under the name Scolecobasidium sp. RNAcentral's name for it is "partial contains 5.8S ribosomal RNA, internal transcribed spacer 2, and large subunit ribosomal RNA". The stretch from base 1 to 71 matches the Rfam family "5.8S ribosomal RNA", at positions 84 to 154 of the family's 154-position model. The record is from RNAcentral. Lineage: Eukaryota; Fungi; Ascomycota; Dothideomycetes; Venturiales; Sympoventuriaceae.
GUGAAUCAUCGAAUCUUUGAACGCACAUUGCGCCCUCUGGUAUUCCGGGGGGCACGCCUGUUCGAGCGCCAUCGCACCCUCCAAGCUCUGCUUGAUGUUGGGCGCUGCGGACCAUUCCCUGGCAACGGGGGAUGCCGCACGCCUGGAACGUGUGGGCGUCUGGCCUGUCGAGACCCGCGAGCGUAGCAAGGCUGCAAAGUCAUUUCGCUCUGUCGGGACUCCAGCGGACCGCCUAUAGGCCCUACCCUUUAGGGGGGUCACCAACUAAAAGUUUGGCCUCGGAUCAGGCGGGGAUACCCGCUGAACUUAAGCAUAUCAAUAAGCGGAGGA